Non-coding RNA from Phyllosticta citriasiana, 84 nucleotides. The record is from the annotation of a GenBank genome assembly. Lineage: Eukaryota; Fungi; Ascomycota; Dothideomycetes; Botryosphaeriales; Phyllostictaceae.
GGGUUGGUGGUGUACUGGAAACAUGUGUCCGCGGCAUCGGUCGUUUCCGCGGGCAAGACCCAGGUUCGAGUCCUGGCCAACUUG